UUGAAAGCCAACCUUGAAAGUUGUAGAAU
Molecule: non-coding RNA, 29 nt
Filed under: Mus musculus (house mouse)
Lineage: Eukaryota; Metazoa; Chordata; Mammalia; Rodentia; Muridae
Source: RNAcentral